UACGGAGGGGGCUAGCGUUGUUCGGAAUGACUGGGCGUAAAGCGCGCGUAGGCGGAUCGGGUAGUUGGGGGUGAAAGCCCAGGGCUCAACCCUGGAAUGGCCUUCAAAACUCCCGAUCUAGAGUUCGAGAGAGGUGAGUGGAAUUCCGAGUGUAGAGGUGAAAUUCGUAGAUAUUCGGAGGAACACCAGUGGCGAAGGCGGCUCACUGGCUCGACACUGACGCUGAGGUGCGAAAGCGUGGGGAGCGAACAGG
RNAcentral lists this ribosomal RNA (253 nucleotides) under uncultured bacterium. Its description in RNAcentral is "partial 16S ribosomal RNA". It matches the Rfam family "Bacterial small subunit ribosomal RNA", at positions 524 to 776 of the family's 1533-position model. The record is from RNAcentral.